RNAcentral lists this ribosomal RNA (523 nucleotides) under Janthinobacterium sp. Z2NS-259. RNAcentral's name for it is "bacterial SSU rRNA". It matches the Rfam family "Bacterial small subunit ribosomal RNA", at positions 74 to 593 of the family's 1533-position model. Lineage: Bacteria; Pseudomonadati; Pseudomonadota; Betaproteobacteria; Burkholderiales; Oxalobacteraceae. The record is from RNAcentral.
CGGAGCUUGCUCUGGUGGCGAGUGGCGAACGGGUGAGUAAUAUAUCGGAACGUACCCAGGAGUGGGGGAUAACGUAGCGAAAGUUACGCUAAUACCGCAUACGUCCUAAGGGAGAAAGUGGGGGAUCGCAAGACCUCAUGCUCNUGGAGCGGCCGAUAUCUGAUUAGCUAGUUGGUAGGGUAAAAGCCUACCAAGGCAACGAUCAGUAGCUGGUCUGAGAGGACGACCAGCCACACUGGAACUGAGACACGGUCCAGACUCCUACGGGAGGCAGCAGUGGGGAAUUUUGGACAAUGGGCGCAAGCCUGAUCCAGCAAUGCCGCGUGAGUGAAGAAGGCCUUCGGGUUGUAAAGCUCUUUUGUCAGGGAAGAAAAGGGNNUGGCUAAUAUCUGGUCCUCAUGACGGUACCUGAAGAAUAAGCACCGGCUAACUACGUGCCAGCAGCCGCGGUAAUACGUAGGGUGCAAGCGUUAAUCGGAAUUACUGGGCGUAAAGCGUGCGCAGGCGGUUUUGUAAGACUGUC